RNAcentral lists this ribosomal RNA (1847 nucleotides) under human gut metagenome. RNAcentral's name for it is "bacterial LSU rRNA". It matches the Rfam family "Bacterial large subunit ribosomal RNA", at positions 813 to 2642 of the family's 2925-position model. The record is from RNAcentral.
GGAUAGGGGUGAAAGGCCAAUCAAACCCGGAGAUAUCUCGUUCUCCCCGAAAUAGCUUUAGGGCUAGCGUCGCGCGUUCACCGCCGGAGGUAGAGCACCGGAUGGACGAGGGGGCUUCGCCGCCUACCGAAUCCAACCGAACUCCGAAUGCCGGCGGCCCAGAGCGCGGCAGUCAGAGCAUGUGGGCUAAGCUGUGUGCUCGAGAGGGAAACAGCCCGGACCGCCCGCUAAGGUCCCCAAGUUCCAGCCGAGUGGCAAAGGAUGUGCGUCCGCCCAGACAACCAGGAUGUUGGCUUAGAAGCAGCCAUGCAUUCAAAGAGUGCGUAACAGCUCACUGGUCGAGUGGACAUGCGCCGACAAUACACGGGGCUAAGCUGGACACCGAAGCGGCGGGAUUUUGAUUUUCAGAAUCGGUAGGGGAGCUUCCCAUGGGCGGGGAAGCCGCCGGGCGACCGGCGGUGGAGCGCAUGGGAGUGAGAAUGCUGGCAUGAGUAGCGAGAGACGAGAGAGUAACUCGUCCGCCGUGAACCCGAGGUUUCCUGGGCAAGGCUAAUCCUCCCAGGGUCAGUCGGGGGCUAAGGCGAGGCCGGGAGGCGUAGCCGACGCGCAGCAGGCAGACAUUCCUGCACCGCGCACGCGGCGCUACGACCGACGGGGCGACGGAUGGGGGUGGCUCGGCGGGGUUCUGGACGUCCCCGUGAUGGAGCGCGGCCCGCGGACCAGGGAAAUCCGGUCCGCACGAGGGCGAGGCUCCGGACGAAGCACUUAAGCGAAGCGAGUGAGCCCGAGGUCCCUAGAAAAACCCCUAGGCAGGCGCGUGCGCGCCCGUACCGCAAACCGACACAGGUGGGUGGGUAGAACAUACCGAGGCGAUCGGGUCAACCAUGGUCAAGGAACUCGGCACAAUGGCCCCGUAACUUCGGGAGAAGGGGUGCCCGCGCGUACGUGAACCGGCUUGCCCGGGGAGCGGAGGCGGGCCGCAGUGGAGAGGCCCAAGCGACUGUUUACCAAAAACACAGGACUCUGCAGAAGCCGCAAGGCGACGUAUAGGGUCUGACGCCUGCCCGGUGCCGGAAGGUCACGCGGAGGAGUUAGCCGCAAGGCGAAGCCCCGAAGCCAAGCCCCGGUAAACGGCGGCCGUAACUAUAACGGUCCUAAGGUAGCGAAAUUCCUUGUCGGGUAAGUUCCGACCUGCACGAAAGGCGCAACGACUUGGGCGCUGUCUCGACCAUGGACCCGGUGAAAUUGCACUGGUCGUGAAGAUGCGACUUACCCGCGGAAGGACGGAAAGACCCCGUGAACCUUCACUGCAGCUUGGCAUUGGCCGCUGGUCCCGCGUGUAGAGGAUAGGCAGGAGGCACAGAUCCGGAGGCGCCAGCCCCCGGGGAGCCGCCCUUGGAAUACUGCCCUCGCGCGACCGGCGUCCUAACCCGAGGCCGUCGACCGGCUCGGGGACCGUGCCAGGCGGGCAGUUUGACUGGGGCGGUCGCCUCCUAAAGGGUAACGGAGGCGCGCGAAGGUCCGCUCGGGACGGUCGGCAACCGUCCUUUUGAAUGCAAGAGUACAAGCGGGCUUGACUGCGAGGCCCACAAGCCGAGCAGGUGCGAAAGCAGGCUCUAGUGAUCCGGCGGCCCCGAGUGGGUGGGCCGUCGCUCAACGGAUAAAAGGUACUCCGGGGAUAACAGGCUGAUCUUGCCCAAGAGUCCACAUCGACGGCAAGGUUUGGCACCUCGAUGUCGGCUCAUCGCAUCCUGGGGCUGGAGCAGGUCCCAAGGGUACGGCUGUUCGCCGUUUAAAGCGGUACGCGAGCUGGGUUCAGAACGUCGUGAGACAGUUCGGUCCCUAUC